AUGGCGGAUUCUGAGCGUCUCUCGGCCCCCGGCUGCUGGUUAGCCUGUACCAGCUUCUCGAGCACCAAAAAGGGAAUUCUCCUGUUUGCUGAGAUUAUACUGUGCCUGGUGAUUUUGAUUUGCUUCAGUGCAUCUACAACAUCGGCCUACUCCUCCCUGUCGGUGAUUGAGAUGAUCUGCUGCUGUCUUACUUGUCUUCUACACGUGUGACCUGCACUCCAAGAUAUCAUUCAUCAACUGGCCUUGGACUGACUUCUUCAGAUCCCUCAUAGCAACCAUCCUGUACCUGAUCACCUCCAUUGUUGUCCUUGUAGAAGGAAGAGGCAGCUCCAGAGUUGUUGCUGGGAUACUGGGCUUACUUGCUACGUUGCUCUUUGGCUACGAUGCAUACAUCACCUUCCCUCUAAAGCAGCAAAGACAUACAGCAGCCCCCACUGACCCCACUGAUGGCCCAUGA
Molecule: long non-coding RNA, 457 nt
Filed under: Mus musculus (house mouse)
Lineage: Eukaryota; Metazoa; Chordata; Mammalia; Rodentia; Muridae
Description: long non-coding RNA chr2:75808357-75808814
Source: RNAcentral